GACGAACGCUGGCGGCGUGCUUAACACAUGCAAGUCGAACGGUAAGGCCCUUUGGGGUACACGAGUGGCGAACGGGUGAGUAACACGUGGGUGAUCUGCCCUGCACUUCGGGAUAAGCCUGGGAAACUGGGUCUAAUACCGGAUAGGACCACUGCCUGCAUGGGUGGUGGUGGAAAGCUUUUGCGGUGUGGGAUGGGCCCGCGGCCUAUAAGCUUGUUGGUGGGGUGAUGGCCUACCAAGGCGACGACGGGUAGCCGGCCUGAGAGGGUGACCGGCCACACUGGGACUGAGAUCCGGCCCAGACUCCUACGGGAGGCAGCAGUGGGGAAUAUUGCACAAUGGGCGCAAGCCUGAUGCAGCGACGCCGCGUGAGGGAUGACGGCCUUCGGGUUGUAAACCUCUUUCAGCACCGACGAAGCGCAAGUGACGGUAGGUGCAGAAGAAGGACCGGCCAACUACGUGUCAGCAGCGCCGUAA
Molecule: ribosomal RNA, 477 nt
Filed under: uncultured bacterium
Lineage: Bacteria
Description: partial 16S ribosomal RNA
Rfam family: Bacterial small subunit ribosomal RNA
Source: RNAcentral